Molecule: ribosomal RNA, 257 nt
Filed under: Notocrater houbricki
Lineage: Eukaryota; Metazoa; Mollusca; Gastropoda; Lepetellida; Pseudococculinidae
Description: partial 28S ribosomal RNA
Rfam family: Eukaryotic large subunit ribosomal RNA
Source: RNAcentral
CCGCAGCGGUUCUGACGUGCAAAUCGAUCGUCGGACUUGGGUAUAGGGGCGAAAGACUAAUCGAACCAUCUAGUAGCUGGUUCCCCCCGAAGUUUCCCGUAGGAUAGCUGGCGCUCGUGACUCAGUUUUAUCCGGUAAAGCGAAGGAUUAGAGCGAGCUGGGGCUAGUUGCCCUGGCACUAUUCUCAAACUUUAAAUGGGUAAGGAGCCGGCGGCCUUGAAUGUGGGCGUCGGACAAGAAUGAGAGUGCCUAGUGGG